GGAACUCAGUGGUAUCUGGACGUGUUCUAACUUAGUUCUCCCUGGAGGGUAAUAAGCCUGCAUGCAAGCUAAGGAAAUACAGAGGAGAGAACUUGGUCUGGAGGUACUGUAGAACCUCCCUGGAUGUCCUUUAAAUGGACUGUGACAGACUUCACUCUGGAUGUCACGUGGAAGCCCCAGGUCUGUAGUCUUCUGUUUGUUGUUUACCCGUAGCUAAGGGGAAAAAACUGUUCACGUGGCAUUAUCAGGAAAUGAGAAAGAAAUAAAUCUAUCCCGGGACUGAGAGCAAUUGUUUGGAAGAUUUUUAUGAAGAGGUAAAUUGUCUUGUUUGCUAUGACUCCAUAGAAGAAUAGCUACUUUAUUACUGGCAGAUAUAAUUUAUCAUGGGUCUAACACAUACCAUUUUAAGACCAUUUUCAGUUGUUCAUAACGUUGCCAAAUUUUAACCUUUGGGUGGAAAUUUUCCAUACCGGUUGUUUCCUUCAAAUUUGUACCC
Molecule: long non-coding RNA, 496 nt
Organism: Alligator sinensis (Chinese alligator)
Lineage: Eukaryota; Metazoa; Chordata; Crocodylia; Alligatoridae
Exons: 3
Source: RefSeq, a predicted model, not a curated record